UUCAGAACGAACGCUGGCGGCAGGCUUAACACAUGCAAGUCGAGCGCACUCUUUUAGAGUGAGCGGCAAACGGGUGAGUAACGCGUGGGAAUCUACCCAUUUAUACGGAAUAACACAGAGAAAUUUGUGCUAAUACCGUAUACGUCCCUUUGGGAGAAAGAUUUAUCGGAGAUGGAUGAGCCCGCGUUGGAUUAGCUAGUUGGUGAGGUAACGGCUCACCAAGGCGACGAUCCAUAGCUGGUCUGAGAGGAUGAUCAGCCACACUGGGACUGAGACACGGCCCAGACUCCUACGGGAGGCAGCAGUGGGGAAUAUUGGACAAUGGGGGCAACCCUGAUCCAGCCAUGCCGCGUGAGUGAUGAAGGCCUAGGGUUGUAAAGCUCUUUCACCGGUGAAGAUAAUGACGAU
Molecule: ribosomal RNA, 408 nt
Filed under: uncultured Bartonella sp.
Lineage: Bacteria; Pseudomonadati; Pseudomonadota; Alphaproteobacteria; Hyphomicrobiales; Bartonellaceae
Description: bacterial SSU rRNA
Rfam family: Bacterial small subunit ribosomal RNA
Source: RNAcentral